UAUAUUUGCAAUCGUUUAAAUCACAUAAAAAUCAUUUAAAUUAAUAUUGGCAUG
Molecule: non-coding RNA, 54 nt
Filed under: unclassified sequences
Description: S15-Flavobacteria ribosomal protein leader
Rfam family: S15-Flavobacteria ribosomal protein leader
Source: RNAcentral